RNAcentral lists this transfer RNA (73 nucleotides) under Agrilus planipennis (emerald ash borer). It matches the Rfam family "tRNA". From Rfam's summary of the family: Transfer RNA (tRNA) molecules are approximately 80 nucleotides in length. Lineage: Eukaryota; Metazoa; Arthropoda; Insecta; Coleoptera; Buprestidae. The record is from Rfam by way of RNAcentral.
UCUCUCGUAGAUCAGUGGUCAGAUCAGUGGUUUGUAAAACCAAAAGUUCCGGGUUCAAUUCCCGGCAAAGGUA